GGAUUAGAUACCCUGGUAGUCCACGCCGUAAACGAUGAGAACUAGACGUUGGCUGACAUAGUCGGCCAGUGUCGCAGCAAACGCGUUAAGUUCUCCGCCUGGGGAGUACGGCCGCAAGGUUGAAACUCAAAGGAAUUGACGGGGGCCCGCACAAGCGGUGGAGCAUGUGGUUUAAUUCGAUGCAACGCGAAGAACCUUACCUGCCCUUGACAUCCUGCAAACCUUCCGGAGACGGAAGGGUGCCUUCGGGAAUGCAGUGACAGGUGCUGCAUGGCUGUCGUCAGCUCGUGUUG
RNAcentral lists this ribosomal RNA (293 nucleotides) under uncultured bacterium. Its description in RNAcentral is "partial 16S ribosomal RNA". It matches the Rfam family "Bacterial small subunit ribosomal RNA", at positions 775 to 1067 of the family's 1533-position model. The record is from RNAcentral.